Ictalurus punctatus (channel catfish) is the source of this 822-nucleotide long non-coding RNA. The record is from Ensembl. NCBI's taxonomy places the organism in Eukaryota, Metazoa, Chordata, Actinopteri, Siluriformes, Ictaluridae.
UUUGCAGGGAUUCCCUUUUCAUAUCAACACCGAGGAAUGUUUCAAUGGCAUACAGACUCUGCUUGCCAGCAUCCACAACCAGAACUCCUUGUUUGUGGUGGGAAAGAAGAUCGUGAUGUGUCUGGCAGCAGCUAACAACCAGGAUGUGGUUGGUGUGCAGCUGCCUUAUGAGUCUCUGAUUCAAUUCCUGAGAAGUCCUUCAGAAAUCGAUUGUAACAGAGCUCAUUGGGGGUCUUGUCAGGGUGCUUGCAACUCCCUGUGUCCACUAUUACAACUUCCGGGACGUGUUUUAUGAACUACUUCAGUUUGGAUUCCUCACAAAUGACUCAGCUCCUGAGGCAUGUGAGGGAGGACUUUUGGAGAGCCUGUUUGGGUUCAUUAGUAUGUAGGAUGUGGACGUGUGGGAGCCUACAGCAGAGCUGUACUUCACAGUGCAUAUUGGAAGUAUCAAAUAUCUUCUGAUGCUACGAUACACAAACUCUCAGCAUUGUAACUAUUACUCAGUGACACUAUGUUGGCCAUCCCUCAACACUCAUCCCUUUAUACUCUAUCCCUCAGUACUUUAUCAUUAUCCCCAUCACUCUGUUCCUUUCAGCAGCCUAAAGAGUCUAUAUAGAUACACAACACAAAAUUAAUUUCUCACUCGUAUACAAAUCUUUUUUAAAGAAUUUCUGAAACUGUGAAAAAUGACAAAUAACAUUUCAUAAAAUUUGCUGAUGGCCCCAAACUGUAGAAAAAUCAGUAAGCCUUUGAGAAUUGCACAUGUACAUUUAAGUGUCCAUAGCAAAACUAUAAAUAAAUAAAAAAUAUAAGAAAUCUUCA